ACACCUCAACUCUUUAUGGUCUUCCAUGAUGAGCUUGGACUUUGGGGGGUUUUGCUGGCCUACAGUCAGCUCCUCUAAAAUGAAUCAGCUUGCCGGUGUUUGGUGGGUAUCAUGGGUGUGAUAACUAUCUACGCUCGUGGUUUUCCACCAGGUGUAACCUUCAGCAGUGGAGGUUCACUGGAAGCUCAUAGAUGUCUCUCCUCAGUGAGGACAGCCCUUUGAAU
This 224-nucleotide unclassified non-coding RNA is filed under the name uncultured Tomentella. Its description in RNAcentral is "sequence contains ITS2". The record is from RNAcentral. Lineage: Eukaryota; Fungi; Basidiomycota; Agaricomycetes; Thelephorales; Thelephoraceae.